ACAAUACUUAAGAGAAAUACUAAAGUCAAAGAGAAGAUUAAUGAUAAAUGCAAAAAAAUAGUAAAAAAAUUCCUCUUUGGCCUUGAAGAUAAUUCUGCUACCAAUCCCAUUAAAGUGUUUACAGUGAGUUCUAAAGAGUUUUGGAAUACCAAAGAAGGAAAAAAUAAUGUUUUAACAGAUGAAGAAACUGAGCUCCCAUCUCUGAAAAAGCAUGUGAAGGAACUUUAUGUCAACCAGACCAAGAAAGCAGUAGAACAUUAUGUUUCCGAGGUAUCUGUGAUUAUAUCCUUCCUUCAUGUUCCUAAGGAAAAUGCUGAAG
Long non-coding RNA from Polypterus senegalus (gray bichir), 319 nucleotides. RefSeq lists it as uncharacterized. The transcript is spliced from 3 exons. The record is from RefSeq and is a predicted model, not a curated record. NCBI's taxonomy places the organism in Eukaryota, Metazoa, Chordata, Cladistia, Polypteriformes, Polypteridae.